This is a long non-coding RNA of Pectinophora gossypiella (pink bollworm), 3832 nucleotides long. RefSeq lists it as uncharacterized. Lineage: Eukaryota; Metazoa; Arthropoda; Insecta; Lepidoptera; Gelechiidae. The transcript has 2 exons. The record is from RefSeq and is a predicted model, not a curated record.
CAUUCGUUGUAAUUUUUUUUGUAACGUGUAAAAAGAACAAAUUGUGUGGUGGUGGUGUUUCUUCAUUUACCCCCUAGUAAAUAAGAUUUAUCGUGUUCAUAUUGAUGUGUGCUUUAAACGAAACAAGUUAAUUUACAUAUACCUACAAACUAUUUUGUAUAACUGUGUUUUUAAAUCUACAUUUGCAUUAUAUAUUAUUUCUUUUGCUUUGCAUACUUUUAAAGUUUGGACUUUGAACUCGUAUAGCAUUUUAUAACAUUUCAUUAAAAAAUUAUACUGCGUUGCAGCUUUUUUGCUGUAUAAUUAAACUUCUUAAAUUGUUUCUUAAAAUUUUGAGCUUACUUUUUUGUUUUUAUCACAAAUUUGCUUUUAUAAAACAAAACAUUAUAUACCCUACAAAGGUUUUUUUUGAAUGUAACUUUAAAUUUUUAACAUUCUUGAGUAAAAUUAUUAUUGUUGCUAGUUUACUGCUUAGCUUUGCUAUACAGUUUUUUUUCUUCAAAAUUUUAUGAAACUUGGUGUGAGUUUAGAAUUAUAUUUUUGAUUUAUACCCUCAAGGUUUAUUUACAAUUUGUAAAUUCUUUCAAAUUAUGCAACAAUUUAUAAAAUCAUUUCGGCCAAAUUUCAAUUAAACAUUUAACUUGCUGUCUAGUGAAAUUAUAGUUCUUGGUUGUAUAACCACGGCUAUACAUAAGUACCUACAUGCUUGUUGUUUAUGUUGCAUUCCUUUUGAGCUCAUAGCAAAUAAACUGGUUCUGUUUUUUUACACGCUCGUUAGUAUUACGUGUACAAUCUUUUAUUGUUGAGCUAUUGUUUGCUUAAUAGUUUUGUAUUCUAUUACCGGAUAAAUUCUAAUAAGUAAAUCUUUUGAAUUGGAUUAAAUACGUUAAAUAAACAACAUUUAUGCAUUGUUAGUUUUAUAAAUAACUAUAUAUAUUUUUUUUUACAUUUGCAUUUUGUUUAUUUGCAUUUAUUUUUACUUUUCAAGUAGGUAUUUAGUUAAUGAAAAUAUUCUUUGAUUAUUUUUUCUUUAAAACUUAGUAAGUACUUAGUUAAAUCUUUGUUAAAGUACAUUGGUCAUUCAUUUUUUUUAAUCAUGGCGUUGGAAGAACGUCCAAUUAAAUUUCAUCUAUUACGUAAAGAUGAAAUAAUUUACGAGUUAUUAUUUCGUGGUGCAGGGCCACCACUUGUACUAUACAUCUUCACAUUUUGAAGGUGUGGGUACACCGGCAGCGUUGGGGAAUCAUUUAGGUUAGUUGUCUUUUAGGUUAGUUGUUGUAGGAGCCGAUUUACUGGUGGACGCGCGGCCGCUGUGGGGCUCGCCGCGCCGCCACUGACAAAUUGUGGCCUAUUAUAUUGUUGACGGUGGACGUGUGGGCAUUCCCUAGGUUCCCCACACUGCCACUGUCGACAUAUCCAGUUAUUUUUAUUAUUUCUUUUUUAAUUUUUUUUUUCUCUUUAUAACUUUAUUUCCGAGCAGCUUGCGGGUGGACGCGCGGCCACACCGGCGGCACGCCGCGCCGCCAUCAACAAGUUGGGUCGUUUUUUUAUAUAUUUUUUUUUCUUUUUUUUUUGUUUCGCGGUAGGUAGGGAUUAGUACCUAAUCGUGUGGUUUGUUGAUGGUUGGGGUCGAGCACUCACCAAUAGUAAGGUGAGGUCACUUCCCCGCCGUUUUAGGAUGUUGAGGGAGUGGUAGUUGUGACUGAUGGCUGUUGAAGUCAUUAGUGUUUAUUGAUGGUUGGGGUCGAGCACUCGCCAAUUGUAAGGUGAGGUCACUUCUCCACCAUUUUGAGAUGUUGAGGGAGUGGUAGUUGUGACUGAUGGCUGUUGAGUCAUUAGUGUUUAUUGAUGGUUGGGGUCGAGCACUCGCCAAUUGUAAGGUGAGGUCACUUCUCCACCAUUUUGAGAUGUCGAGAGAGUGGUAGUUGUGACUGAUGGCUGUUGAAGUCAUUAGUGUUUGUUGAUGGUUGGGGUCGAGCACUCGCCAAUUGUAAGGUGAGGUCACUUCCCCACCAUUUUAAGAUGUUGAGGGAGUGGUGGUUGUGACUGAUGGCUUUUGAAGCCGUUAGUGUUCGUUGGUGGACGUAGUUAUUGCUACGGACACGUAUUAUUGUUGUAAUGAGUCAUUGCGACUUGCUUACCGACAUGUUUUUGGCGCUCGUAUGCGCGCUAUUGAUGCGAUUUCUUGGAUGCGAAGUAUUUCUUGGAUGCGAAGUAUUUCUUGGAUGCGAAGUAUUUUUUGGAUGCGAAGUAUUUUUGGAUGCGAAGAAUUUCUUGGAUGCUAUCAGAUGUUGUUGUGCUCAUGGUGAGCACAGGUGGUAUAUGUGCCGUCUCGGCAAGUUUUUACGUUGCGCGGCGUCCGCCGGCAAUGGCAUUUCUGCCUUUAUUUUUUUUCUAUUCUUUUUAAGUUUAUCUUUUUACUGUUUGUACCGAAUGGCAUUUUUUGCCUUUAUUUAUUUUCAUUGAUAUGGUUUUACUUUUUUUAUUUUAAAUUAUUUCUCUUUUAAGUUAAACUUGAAUAUUUUUGUGGAGGUUUGAGUUUUGGUUUGUUUGAGGGAUCAGCUGGAGGGCCAGCUGGGAUUUCCUCGUUUGUUUUAUUUUUUAAUUAUUUUUUUUUUUCACUCGGAAAUCCUUUUGGGUGGGGAGGUAUUGUAGUGCCGUUUCUUUCAGCCUCCGGAUUAGUUACAGGGGAUCCGUUUUAUAGCUUUUUUGUGUAGUAUUGAACACAGCGCCAUCUCGCCUUGUUCGAUGGAAGGUCCGUGAGCAUCGACUUGCUAUCGUUGGGCUCCGCAGUCGACGACUUUCCACCAGUAACCGGAAGAUGGCGUGUGCCGAUAUUAUACGGAAGGCUAUAUCUUGGAGUCCCUUGUCAAGUAGCUGCUGAAGAAUGUUGGUGUCAAUAUUUAAUACAAAAUUAUAUUUGGGAAUUUUCGGUCUGUCUCCUGUCCUUGGAGUUGUUAAUAACUUGCAUGUUGAGUGUGCGACGGCGGCGUCAUCUAACGGACGAUUGAGGUCGUACUAGCUUUGUCCGUGACGUAGGCGUUGAAUUGGGCGAUUUAUAUAGUCCUGCGCCUGCGAGCUGCCGCAUUCCCCAGACAGCGCUCCGCCGAGCGGGUGUGUCCACACCUUCGAUUUUUAGUGUGAAUUUCGGGUGAGAAUUUGUCUUUAUAAUGCGUUAUAGCAUUUUAAUCGUAAUUAUCAGUGUCGAUAUAUGUUGUCAUUGUUUUUCUUUUAGGCGGUUUAUAAGCGUGUGACCGGUGGCCCGCAACUCCGUCGCACGCGCCGCCAAAUCUUCGUAAAUUUUUAUUCUGGUGUGGUUUUGGUGUCCGUGGCGUGGACACGUUGCUCCGCCAUUUUGUCCCAGCGUCGUGGCAUCGACGUCAUCGUACGUUGGCCGCAUACGUGGCUUCUCGACCUCCGACAGGUGAGUCUUUUUAUACGAUUUUGGGGAGUUAGUUAGGUUGUGCCUCCGCCCCUAGAGGUUUGAUUUACCCCUGUGCGUUUUGUCCACAGGAGGUGUUUUGCGAAGGUGUUUUGUGACGGCUGUUUUACGAAGGCUGUUCUGUUCUAUGACGGGUGUUUUGUACAGCUGUUCUGCUACAGCUUAUUGGUAGCUGCUCCUAGUCGGCUCGGCUUCCUUCCCGCUGCCGAGGGCAAACGAGUUAGGGAGGUUUUUAUAAUACCUUUCUUAUUUUUUUUUUAUAAUGCUUAACGAAUGACCAGUGGCCUUGAAUACCUGGAAUGUACCCUUAGGAUUUAAAAGUUCCAAAUACUUAUUUAUAUUUUUGUGUAACUUUGGUUUUCUUAGUAAUUAAUAAAUACAAGUAAACCA